GAGCUCCCAAAACAAAAAAAAAAGAAAAAAAAAGAAGAGGAAGAAGGAACAGAGGUGGCGACGUUGAGAGGAAGAAGAAGAUAAAGAGGGAGAGGGAGAGGAUGGGUGAGAGAGGAAGAGGCGGGAUGAGGGUUUUGGAGAAAAAGUGAGAUUUAAAUGGGGUAUUUUGGUCCAAAAAAUAGCUUCCCGACAAACCUGAAAACAGCAUUUUCGGAAAGCUCCAAAUUGGAGCUUCUUCCCAAAAGCUGUUUUUAGCUUC
RNAcentral lists this long non-coding RNA (259 nucleotides) under Phoenix dactylifera (date palm). RNAcentral describes it as "long non-coding RNA (PDAC_LNC006354)". Lineage: Eukaryota; Viridiplantae; Streptophyta; Magnoliopsida; Arecales; Arecaceae. The record is from RNAcentral.